Molecule: ribosomal RNA, 468 nt
Filed under: uncultured bacterium
Lineage: Bacteria
Description: partial 16S ribosomal RNA
Rfam family: Bacterial small subunit ribosomal RNA
Source: RNAcentral
GACGAACGCUGGCGGCGUGCUUAACACAUGCAAGUCGAACGGAAAGGCCCUGCUUUUGUGGGGUGCUCGAGUGGCGAACGGGUGAGUAACACGUGAGUAACCUGCCCUUGACUUUGGGAUAACUUCAGGAAACUGGGGCUAAUACCGGAUAGGAGCUCCUGCUGCAUGGUGGGGGUUGGAAAGUUUCGGCGGUUGGGGAUGGACUAGCGGCUUAUCAGCUUGUUGGUGGGGUAGUGGCUUACCAAGGCUUUGACGGGUAGCCGGCCUGAGAGGGUGACCGGCCACAAUGGGACUGAGAUACGGCCCAGACUCCUACGGGAGGCAGCAGUGGGGAGUAUUGCACAAUGGGCGGAAGCCUGAUGCAGCAACGCCGCGUGCGGGAUGACGGCCUUCGGGUUGUAAACCGCUUUCGCCUGUGACGAAGCGUGAGUGACGGUAAUGGGUAAAGAAGCACCGGCUAACUACGUG